Molecule: ribosomal RNA, 497 nt
Filed under: uncultured bacterium
Lineage: Bacteria
Description: partial 16S ribosomal RNA
Rfam family: Bacterial small subunit ribosomal RNA
Source: RNAcentral
GAUGAACGCUGGCGGCGUGCCUAAUACAUGCAAGUCGAGCGAACGGAUGAGAAGCUUGCUUCUCUGACGUUAGCGGCGGACGGGUGAGUAACACGUGGAUAACCUACCUAUAAGACUGGGAUAACUACGGGAAACCGUAGCUAAUACCGGAUAAUAUAUUGAACCGCAUGGUUCAAUGGUGAAAGACGGUCUUGCUGUCACUUAUAGAUGGAUCCGCGCUGCAUUAGCUAGUUGGUAAGGUAACGGCUUACCAAGGCAACGAUGCAUAGCCGACCUGAGAGGGUGAUCGGCCACACUGGAACUGAGACACGGUCCAGACUCCUACGGGAGGCAGCAGUAGGGAAUCUUCCGCAAUGGGCGAAAGCCUGACGGAGCAACGCCGCGUGAGUGAUGAAGGUCUUCGGAUCGUAAAACUCUGUUAUUAGGGAAGAACAUAUGUGUAAGUAACUGUGCACGUCUUGACGGUACCUAAUCAGAAAGCCACGGCUAACUACGUG